UACGGAGGGAGCUAGCGUUGUUCGGAAUUACUGGGCGUAAAGCGCACGUAGGCGGCUUUGUAAGUUAGAGGUGAAAGCCCGGGGCUCAACCCCGGAAUUGCCUUUAAGACUGCAUCGCUUGAAUCCGGGAGAGGUGAGUGGAAUUCCGAGUGUAGAGGUGAAAUUCGUAGAUAUUCGGAAGAACACCAGUGGCAAAGGCGGCUCACUGGACCGGUAUUGACGCUGAGGUGCGAAAGCGUGGGGAGCAAACAGG
This 253-nucleotide ribosomal RNA is filed under the name uncultured bacterium. RNAcentral describes it as "partial 16S ribosomal RNA". It matches the Rfam family "Bacterial small subunit ribosomal RNA", at positions 524 to 776 of the family's 1533-position model. The record is from RNAcentral.